Peromyscus maniculatus bairdii (prairie deer mouse) is the source of this 1348-nucleotide non-coding RNA. The record is from RefSeq and is a predicted model, not a curated record. NCBI's taxonomy places the organism in Eukaryota, Metazoa, Chordata, Mammalia, Rodentia, Cricetidae.
UGGCGGCGGGGCGGCGUGCCCUCCAGGACUCGCACUCAGAAGGAAUGCUGCCCAAUCCUUCUGGGAAUCCUUGGGGGAAGUUAUAACCCAAACCGGAAGAGUUCAGUUUAAAUUCUUGUUAGACUAUGCAGAAAACGAGAGACCCCAUCUCCUUAGAAACAAUUUAAAGUGGCCUCUUAGGAAUACUCUCGAGUGUAACAACUCAAGACUAUCCAGGAAGUGAUAAAUACAAAAAGUCGUCAGAAAUGAUAGCUCACUAAGAUUUCUCCCUUUGAGUCAGAUUUCAACACAUAACAUGCUUCUAUGUGUGUAUAUCUGAGGAGCUUAUGUUGGUGUUAGUUAUGUUGGUGUUAGUUUUUAAACGUUAAGAAUAUACUUUCUCAGGAUCUCACUAUGUCCACCAAGCUGGGCUUUAAACUCACAAGAGAACUACUUGCCUCCUAGUCCUGGGAUUAAAGGUGUACACCAUCAGACCCGGCUAGAACUCCUGGACAACCUUGGGUCUCACUGAAGGGAACACUGGCUGCAAGGUGCUGUGCCUGCGUCUUUGUCUGUGCACCACAGGCAUGCAGUACCUUCUGAGGGCAGAAGAGAGUAUCAGAGGCCUGGGAACUAGAGUUACAGAUUUGUAACAAGACUUCCCCCUCUUCACUUGAGUUUGCACUUUCUUUUUCUGAGAAGAGGAAAGCAUUCCAAGGAGUCCAUAAAGUCCUAGCUUGACUGAGAGCCUGUCAGCAGCAGCCUGGAUUCAAUCUGCUCCUCCUCUAGGCUCGGAAACGAAAGGCUGACUCCAGUGUGAAAGACGACCGGGUGGAAAAGAGCCGGAGAGCGGGAGCCUCUGGGUGUGAAGGGGAACUGCAGUCAUGAACUCACAAACUACCUGCCCAAGAUCAAGCCAGUCAAUAAUCCCACCCCCACUGGUGGGCUCCUGAGGAGGUACCGGUAACUGAUGGCAGCUGGGAAACACUAACGACUGGAGCAACACUUCAGAGUGAAACUGCAUUUCUGCUGACACUGCAGGUACAUGGCAUUCAACAACAGUGACUACUAGCAGUGUCGAAUGCCAGUGUUGGACAACCCAACCUACAGUGCCUGUACCAUCAGGAGAUGUCAACACUAGGAACAGUCAACUAAUGUAUCAGUCUGAUGACAGCAGUUCUGACUUGAAGGCGCCAUCAAAGUGUCUUGGGAAUAUCCAUAUUCAUGAAUUGCAGUUUAAGGACUAUUGUCUAUAGAAUUACAUGCCUGGAACAAGACACAGAGGGACCAGCAGAUGCACAACCCUUACCUCACUCUCAAUCUUAGUAGAGUAGAGACUGGAACUGCCUACAUUAAAUUCCUAGCUGAC